RNAcentral lists this ribosomal RNA (496 nucleotides) under uncultured bacterium. RNAcentral describes it as "partial 16S ribosomal RNA". It matches the Rfam family "Bacterial small subunit ribosomal RNA", at positions 28 to 506 of the family's 1533-position model. The record is from RNAcentral.
GAUGAACGCUGGCGGCGUGCCUAAUACAUGCAAGUCGAGCGAACAGACGAGGAGCUUGCUCCUUUGACGUUAGCGGCGGACGGGUGAGUAACACGUAGGUAACCUACCUAUAAGACUGGGAUAACUUCGGGAAACCGGAGCUAAUACCGGAUAAUAUUUCGAACCGCAUGGUUCGAUAGUGAAAGAUGGCUUUGCUAUCACUUAUAGAUGGACCUGCGCCGUAUUAGCUAGUUGGUAAGGUAACGGCUUACCAAGGCAACGAUACGUAGCCGACCUGAGAGGGGGAUCGGCCAAAUGGGAAAGGAGACAGGGCCCAGAACCCAAGGGGGGGCAGCAGUAGGGAAUCUUCCGAAAGGGGAGAAAGCCUGACGGAGAAACGCCGGGUGAGUGAUGAAGGUUUGCGGAUCGUAAAACUCUUUUAUGAGGGAAAAAAAAACGGGAAAGUAACUGGGCAGGUCUGGACGGUACCAAAGCAGAAAGCCACGGUUAACUACGG